AUGUCAGCGUGGGACUGCGUCUCAUUUGCAACAACGCUGGGCUGGUGCAAAAGUCUGCCCAACACCUACGGCACUUGGCCUUUCCACCAGGACGCGAUUCGCAGCUAUGAUGGAACAGCCCUAAUGGAAAGCAAUGAGCUUAAUGCUCCCCAACAGAAGAGAAGCCUCCUUUGCUAAGACCUGCGCAGAAAAAGGAAAUGGAGGUGAGGCAUCCACUCAUUCUGCAGCACCUUGUCCUUUCAUGCAGGACGCCGUGUGGCUCCAGAGACCAGUCUUGGCGCUGACAGGACUUCAUCCCUACUGAAAAGCAAAGGACCAGUCCGUAAUACACCGGCUGGCUGGCUGCGUUUUGCUUGGCACCCUUUUUAUGGGGUACGUGCCAGGAUAGGGAUACUGUAGACUCUGGUGCCUUGUGCUGCUGAGGAGGUAAAAUAAUUAGCAAAGGGCACAGGAUGCAAGCAGAGACGCAGGGCUUCUGUGGCCCCCCCCCCCCAACCCGGUGCCUUUCUGCAAAAAACUAACAGCAAGGGAUUGCUUUUGCCCCUGAAGCCCCACUGCACAGAAAGGUACCUCCAACCCUGCUCCAGCCAGCGGUCUGAACGCUUGCCCUGCUCUGCUCUAGAGUGGUAAGACUUUGCACUCGUCUCAGGCCGGAGAGCUUUGCUCUUAAUGACAAAUCAGCUGAGGUGGGAAAUCAGUUCUCCAGCAGCACGGCACAACGUCUCUCCAACUGGUCCUCUGAGAUUUCACUGCAAAAGCAGCUGAAACCUUAGAGUUCAGAGAGAAUCCCACAGUCCUGAGAGCAUUUAGGAUCAAAGUUAAGAUACGAGAGCUCGAUUUAUCUUGGGCAGAAUCUGUCUUCAAAGCCACAAUCUGUAAUUCAGUAAGACUGGCUCUUUUCUACCACGUAGACUCCACGUGAGCCAUUAGACACAAAAAAGAGAGCUGCCACUUUCACCGCUGAAAGCAGAGUUAUCCAUCUCAAGGCAGACGCAGAUCCGUGUCUGUCCACAGAACCUGCAUCUCACUUAGGAUGGGCUAAAUGUCGCUGAUAUCUGGCCCUAGACCAGACAAGCUCCAAAAAGCAAAACACAUCUGGAAGACGGGAUUUGUUCCACCACUGCUCUUCCUGUUCAAAUGACCCAGCUCCCAUCCAGUGCAUUUUUAGGGAACUGGUCAGAACGACCUCAAGAGUAUGUA
This 1200-nucleotide long non-coding RNA is filed under the name Struthio camelus australis. Its description in RNAcentral is "lncRNA (ENSSCUG00000007152.1)". Lineage: Eukaryota; Metazoa; Chordata; Aves; Struthioniformes; Struthionidae. The record is from RNAcentral.